UGCCAGCCGCCGCGGUAAUACGGGAGUGGCAAGCGUUAUCCGGAAUUAUUGGGUUUAAAGGGUGCGUAGGCGGCUUGAUAAGUCAGAGGUGAAAUCCCGCAGCUUAACUGCGGAACUGCCUUUGAUACUGUCUAGCUUGAAUUGGGUUGAGGUUAGCGGAAUGUGGCAUGUAGCGGUGAAAUGCAUAGAUAUGCCAUAGAACACCGAUUGCGAAGGCAGCUAACUGGACCUUGAUUGACGCUGAGGCACGAAAGCGUGGGGAGCGAACAGGAUUAGAUA
This 279-nucleotide ribosomal RNA is filed under the name uncultured bacterium. RNAcentral's name for it is "partial 16S ribosomal RNA". It matches the Rfam family "Bacterial small subunit ribosomal RNA", at positions 506 to 784 of the family's 1533-position model. The record is from RNAcentral.